RNA transcript from Macadamia integrifolia, 2167 nucleotides. RefSeq lists it as uncharacterized. Lineage: Eukaryota; Viridiplantae; Streptophyta; Magnoliopsida; Proteales; Proteaceae. The record is from RefSeq and is a predicted model, not a curated record. The transcript is spliced from 3 exons.
UGGUUCUGUUGUCUCUUCUAGUGUUCUAAAUUUCUAAUAAUAUACCAAGCGCCCGACCACCUGCGAAGCUUUUGGUUUUGCGGCCAUGGCAGCAGCGGCAUUGUUACUCUCUCCCAUACUCUUCGCCUCUUACCAACCCAUACGAACACAUAUCUCGUCAAUCCAACAAACUUCAGUUCAACUUCCGCCAUUGUCGUCCACUUCUUGUAGAAAUGGAGACCCUUUAGAAGCCACUUGGUGGAGCUGCUUCUGCUGCUGUAUUCCCUUUGUGGGAUACCACUUUGCAACUCAGCGAACCAGAUAAUGCUCUCUCUUAACCUACCUGGGCUGUUCAUGUCUCCAGUGUCGUCGAAUGGAUUUCGGCAAUGGCUCUGGUGUGGCAAUAUGGAGAAAAAUCUGGGAAUGAAUCUUGGAAAGGGCUUUCUUGGGGUAUGGUACCCCUGCUUGGUGGAGCAUUUUGUGCAUGCACAUGCCAUUUCUUUUACAAUUCCGAGUCCCUUGAGGUAUCUAGCUUUAUAAUUCUUUGAAAUUCACAUGAAGCAGUGUUUAAAUUCUCAGUGGUCACCAUUUGGUGCGAUAGUUAAAAGCCAGGCAGUCCAAUGUGAAUACGCAGCUUUUGAGUCUGAGAGCAGCCUAAUGUUAGAACUGUCUAUGGUGACCAUGCGAAAGCAGGAAUUGGGUUAGGCCCUUUGUGAUCUCAUGACUUAAAUAUCUCACUCUGUGGUUAACAUGACUUUUUUUUUGGGAUGUAACUAUGAUUAUUUCGAUUGCAAUCCCUUUUGUAUUUAAGAAUCAUUAAAUCUCUGCAAGUUACAUCCAGGAAAUGAUGGGCAAAUUAAAUAUCCAGCAACAUGUAGGGUACUCUUUGUAAGAUCAAAUACUACUGUAGAUGAUUCUCGUUUUUCGUUGUGAAGUGGAUUGCAACCUGAUGCCAGAAAUAAAUGUGAGGGAGUGGGUCCCUUACCACUGUAUCAGUGCAGAUGGGUAAAAAAAUUCAAUCAUCAUAGAUAAUUGAUUGCAGUGAUAUAUACAUUUUUUUAAAAAAUGCAGCUGCAGAAAUAUGGUAGAAUACAUGUGGAUUGCAACCUGAUGCCAGAAAUAAAUGUGAGGGAGUGGGUCCCUUACCACUAUAUCAGUGCAGAUGGGUAAAAAAAUUCAAGCAUCAUAGAUAAUUGAUUGCAAUGAUGUAUACAUUUUUUUCAAAAAUGCAGCUGCAGAAAUAUGGUAGAAUACAUGUUUAUCUAUAAUUCUAUAUAGUUCUAUAUAUAAAAUGUGUUACAAUUAUUCCCAGAAAUUUAAUUAAAAUCAGAUUAAAUAUGUUUUUAUCCUUACCUGAAUAAUUCAUAGUUUCUUCCAACUUUCUGACCACCACAUUUGAAUUGUUCAAAACUAUUCCAAUAUUGAAGCUUUGCCGAAUGCCGGUAUGCUAUCUAUGCCCGUCCAUUUUAGAUGGAUGGUGUAUGAACUAAUUUGAUAAUUCUCCACUAAUUCCAGGUAUUAGUGGCCCUGCAAGCAGCACUGAUUGUUGUUGGUAAUUUCACAAUGAGCUUUGCUACACCCCGUAUAUACAAGUCCUGUGAAGGAGAGUUAGGGACUCAGUAGUGUAUAUUAUCAUGGGUUUUUGCUUUAUUGGCUAGACAAAUCUUCAACCAUUUACGUCUUAUCACUGUGCAAGGUGAGAUUAUUAUUGUUCUUGUUCAGGCGUCGACUCUACGAAGUGAACCAUUAUUGUUCUUGUUUCUCAGUUACAGAACUUUUAUUUGUUUUUAUUUGUUAUGACAUUCAUAUAUGUGCAGGAAGUAGGGGAAAAUGGAGGAAAAAUCGAUGCUUUCUUAUUGCUGAUAGGAAUUCGAGCUAAUGAGUAGAAUGCUUAGUUCAUUGGAUGGUAUUGCUUGAAAGAGAAAUUUCCUGUGUUAAUAAUUUCUGUGGUUCAAAAAAUGUUGUGGAUCCUCGUUCAAGGCAUGGCUUGAUAUGUCAAAUUUUGAAACACUUCACAAUGCUUGGAGCUCAAGGAAAUUAUCAUCUUCAAUGUGAAGUUGAUGGGAGGUGGAUUGUCAAUGGCAGGGGAAUGAGUUUUUCAACAUAGUGAUUUGACUCUAGCCCAAUGGUUGUAAUAUAAUACAUUUUCAAGGUUAAUAUCAUCAUGUGAUCUAGCAAUAUCUUUAAA